RNAcentral lists this long non-coding RNA (476 nucleotides) under Anser brachyrhynchus (Pink-footed goose). RNAcentral's name for it is "lncRNA (ENSABRG00000003301.1)". The record is from RNAcentral. Lineage: Eukaryota; Metazoa; Chordata; Aves; Anseriformes; Anatidae.
CAAGCUGUCUCUUGAUUGACCUAUCUAUAAAAUGUCAUUGAUCAGUUGUGUUAAGAGGGCAGGUGGGUUAGCUGCAUCAUUUUCUUCUCUUAGGUUAGCCACACACAGGUAGCUUUAAUUCCCCAAGUCCGCAGGAUCUGGGAAGAGGAAUGAACUUUAAGAUUCCACAGCAUGAAAAAUUCAAGAAUGGCUUCUACAAAGCAGUCAUAUUCCAGAGAUACACUUUUGAAAGGUGCUUCUGAGCUUGUUUUGUGUUAUACUUCUUGGCUUCCUGGAGUCUACUUCUGAAGAAAUAUCUCACAAGGAACAAGCGUGACAAGAAUGUACAGAAUGGAAGGAAGAUGAAGCUCUUAUUUGUGAUUAUGCACAUUGAACUUUCCUUUUCUAGUGUAAGAGUCCACUGGAAAUAGCUGAGAAAGGAAUAUUAUACAGCCAAACAUCACAAAGCCUGUCUGAUCAAAUGAAUUUACUCAUUG